UUGCUUUAGCAGCACAUUAAAUAAAAAUUGUAACAAUACAGAGAAUAUUAGCAUGCCCCUGCACAAGAAUAAACACAAUUAUAAAGCAGUCCAUACUUUUUUU
Small nuclear RNA from Acomys russatus (golden spiny mouse), 103 nucleotides. The record is from RefSeq and is a predicted model, not a curated record. NCBI's taxonomy places the organism in Eukaryota, Metazoa, Chordata, Mammalia, Rodentia, Muridae.